AAAUAAGAAGCAAUUAUUUGCCUUUAGUUUCGACCUAAAAAUUUGAUUAAUUAAAAUCCUUAUUUU
This 66-nucleotide transfer RNA is filed under the name Paridea transversofasciata. RNAcentral's name for it is "tRNA-Arg". The record is from RNAcentral. Lineage: Eukaryota; Metazoa; Arthropoda; Insecta; Coleoptera; Chrysomelidae.